Molecule: long non-coding RNA, 1875 nt
Organism: Odontomachus brunneus
Lineage: Eukaryota; Metazoa; Arthropoda; Insecta; Hymenoptera; Formicidae
Exons: 2
Source: RefSeq, a predicted model, not a curated record
AAGCAAGUCCGUGGCUCUUCGCGCAACAGACUGCAAGCGAAGACACGAGAUGCGUGAACGAGGCAUGAGAGUAAAAAAGGUGCUCGAGAAUUGUGUAGUGGAGGUCGAGUCUAGAUGACCCCAGGAAUAUGUUGUUUAUGUGCUUUUUGAUUACAGGAAAGCGCGGGACUCCAGUGCGGGACAUCCACUUUCAAGAUCCACUUGAAAACUCUUCUUUCUUUCUAUCUAAUAAAUUCGAAUUGAAAGUGCUGGCCGGGCAAAAAAACUGGCCACUUUAAUACGCACGCUGCGCAUCGCUGACUCGAUAUGGGAAAAAGUGUGCGAACAUGAACAUCCACUUUUCCGUACUUUACAUACAGCGAUUUCGGUCAGGUAUGCACUAGAGUGCACUGAUACGCACGAAUUGAUGUAACAACAUGUGUACUGCACAUGUGAGUAUUCGAUGUAGUAUAUGAAUAUGUGACAAUCGGUACGCUGAAGAGAAAUAUUGACAAUAAAAUAAAAGUACCAGUGUCUUGUAUCUAAUUCUUAAUAUCAUGGUCUUUAAAUACUGAUAUUUAAAAGUUCAACACAGAAUAUAUGUAUAUUUAUAUAUUUAACAGGGUUAAAAAUUAAGUUAGGAAGUUAAUAAUUUUUAACUUAAACUUAGUUACUUUAAAGUACAUUAAUGUUUAUUUAUUAAUUCUUUUUAUACCAGAUAAAAUAAUCCACCAAUACUAAAAUUAUUGCCGAAUUCUAACAAUAUAAAAUAUGAAAAAUUAAGAAUAAAAAUACUAGUAGAAUUAUGUUUAUAUCUCUGUGUGCCAGUAUUAUUUUUUUGUAUGAAAUCUUCAGCUGUUAGUAUUUUAUUUAUAUAAAAGUUCAUUAUUUUACAUAAGUUUAAUAUAUGAUUAAAAAAUUAAUUAUGUAAGAGGCAUUUACAUCGCUUUGCAUAAUUAAAUUUCAACUUUAGUAAUUUAAUUUAAUUUUAAUUUAAUGUUUAUGGUUGUGUCACAAAUUUUAUUUCAACAUAUUUUGCAAGAAUUUUUAGCAUGCAUUUUUUCACUUUAUGAACCAAGAUAUAGAGACGUGACUAAAAAAUAGAAAAAUAACUUCCAAAAUCUAGUUUGAUCACCUAAAUAUGUAAUUUAACAAGAAUCUUAGUUUUGAGAACUACAUAUUUAUUAUAUAUAAUUAAAUUAUUUUCUAAUUAUCACAGUACAUUUGACUCGCACUAUAUUUAGCUAAAUAAUUUAGUGACAGCUAUCAAAAUUUAAUACUUAUUCCGAUGGUUCCGAAAACCUUCUUUCAAUAUGCAUGAUGUUUAAGAGAAUUUCUGUCGCGCGCGGUCCAGUGGCCGAGACACUUGUCAGCUAUGUUUACGCACUUUAAGUACUUGAGUAAAUUUGUAUACGAUGGGCUUUUAGAACGCAUCAGAGAGAGUACUCAGUGCACACUCAAUUCUCUAACAGACGCACGAUCGAUUGAUUUACUAAUAGAUAGAACAUUGUAUGGAGUUCGAGCAAAUUUAGAGAGAUGAAAGUAGGUUUGUUUGAUCUUCAACGCGCUAUCUUCAUUUGUUUAACGAAGUCACUCGGCGUCCAAAGACUCUUUUUCUGAAGGUUCUAAAUGGGAAGCGCGAUAAAAAGAAACAAAAAUGAAAAUUUAAUAUGGUUCUGGCGUUAUACUCUAUAGUCAAUCACAUAUAUUUUAUAUUUUUAAUAAAAUCAUACAUUAUUUUAUAUACAUUAUAUUAUAUUUUUAAUAAAAUCGUUUAAAGUAACUAAAAAAAUAAUUUUGCAACAAUAUUAGUGAGAUAAAAUUCGUGAAUUUUAUGAUAUGUAAUCGUCAAUACCGUGUCAAUACCAAAGAAAAAAGAUAUGAAUAUGAAGUAUA